This 634-nucleotide ribosomal RNA is filed under the name uncultured Bacteroidota bacterium. RNAcentral describes it as "bacterial SSU rRNA". It matches the Rfam family "Bacterial small subunit ribosomal RNA", at positions 114 to 747 of the family's 1533-position model. The record is from RNAcentral. Lineage: Bacteria; Pseudomonadati; Bacteroidota.
CACGUACACAACCUUCCUUUUAGUGGGGAAUAGCCCAGAGAAAUUUGGAUUAAUACCCCGUAAUAUAGAGAUGUGGCAUCACAAUUCUAUUAUAGGUUACCGCUAGAAGAUGGGUGUGCGGCUGAUUAGAUAGUUGGCAGGGUAACGGCCUACCAAGUCUACGAUCAGUAGCUGAUGUGAGAGCAUGAUCAGCCACACGGGCACUGAGACACGGGCCCGACUCCUACGGGAGGCAGCAGUAAGGAAUAUUGGACAAUGGACGCAAGUCUGAUCCAGCCAUGCCGCGUGAAGGAUGAAGGUCCUCUGGAUUGUAAACUUCUUUUAUAUGAGACGAAAAAAGGGAAUUCUUUCCCUCUUGACGGUACUGUAUGAAUAAGCACCGGCUAACUCCGUGCCAGCAGCCGCGGUAAUACGGAGGGUGCAAGCGUUAUCCGGAUUCACUGGGUUUAAAGGGUGCGUAGGCGGGUAUGUAAGUCAGUGGUGAAAUCCUGGAGCUUAACUCCGGAACUGCCAUUGAUACUAUAUAUCUUGAAUAUUGUGGAGGUUUGCGGAAUAUGUCAUGUAGCGGUGAAAUGCAUAGAUAUGACAUAGAACACCUAUUGCGAAGGCAGCAGGCUACACAUAUAUUGACGCU